RNAcentral lists this transfer RNA (74 nucleotides) under Rhodospirillales bacterium. Its description in RNAcentral is "tRNA-Cys". It matches the Rfam family "tRNA". Rfam says of the family: Transfer RNA (tRNA) molecules are approximately 80 nucleotides in length. Lineage: Bacteria; Pseudomonadati; Pseudomonadota; Alphaproteobacteria; Rhodospirillales. The record is from RNAcentral.
GGCGCGGUGGCAGAGUGGCUAUGCAGGGGCCUGCAAAGCCCCGUACGCCGGUUCGAUUCCGGCCCGCGCCUCCA